Molecule: long non-coding RNA, 233 nt
Organism: Scomber scombrus (Atlantic mackerel)
Lineage: Eukaryota; Metazoa; Chordata; Actinopteri; Scombriformes; Scombridae
Exons: 3
Source: RefSeq, a predicted model, not a curated record
UUGUAACAUCAGCUGAUAAAACGCGCAGCACCGCAGUAUUUUACACAUUGCACCGUUAAUAUCACCUGUUUAGUUGGAGCCGGGUCUAUACUCUGAGCCGGUUAGCCUGAAACAUGUUACUAUAGUAACGUCACAGACUGCUGAAUGAGAAAGCCUGAAACGUGUUGCUAUAGUAACGUCACAGUUACCUGUCUGAGGAUUAACGUUGUUAAUGAUGACAUCACAUGGCGCUG